This 253-nucleotide ribosomal RNA is filed under the name uncultured bacterium. RNAcentral's name for it is "partial 16S ribosomal RNA". It matches the Rfam family "Bacterial small subunit ribosomal RNA", at positions 524 to 776 of the family's 1533-position model. The record is from RNAcentral.
UACGUAGGGGGCAAGCGUUGUCCGGAAUCAUUGGGCGUAAAGCGCGCGUAGGCGGCCCGGUAAGUCCGUUGUGAAAGUCAAAGGCUCAACCUUUGAACGCCGAUGGAUACUGCCGGGCUAGAGUCCGGAAGAGGCGAGUGGAAUUCCUGGUGUAGCGGUGAAAUGCGCAGAUAUCAGGAGGAACACCGAUUGCGAAGGCAGCUCGCUGGGACGUUACUGACGCUGAGACGCGAAAGCGUGGGGAUCAAACAGG